GACAAGAGUGCACACACUGAAAUGUUUCACCUUCUUUACUUAUCAUUGAUAUUAUGCUGAUAGUCAUAAAUAUAAAGCUUUAUUACAACUGUCACAUAAACUUAACAUUAACCAAGAAAACUAAACAUUGACCAAUGAACCAUGAAAAUAAGGUCAAGGUCAGACGAACCAUGCCAGGCAGGUAUGUACAGCUAACAAUUCUUCCAUACAACAAAUAUAAUUAACCUAUUGCUUAUAGUUUAAGAAAAACAGACCAAAACACAAAAACUUAACACUGAGCAACGAACCGUGAAA
This 294-nucleotide long non-coding RNA is filed under the name Mytilus galloprovincialis (Mediterranean mussel). The record is from RNAcentral. Lineage: Eukaryota; Metazoa; Mollusca; Bivalvia; Mytilida; Mytilidae.